GGUGGCCAGACCCAGAGGAAUGGAUCCCAAAGGAGCUAUUUGAACCACAAACAUGUUUGAAAUAUAACAGUUACUUAAACAGUGUUGAAAAAGGAAAUCAACCUUUUAAAAUGUCUUCCAAUAGUUGGUAAAUUAACAGUUCUGGUAUAUCUGGGAGCAUUGGGACAUGGAACUGUAACACCUUAUAGUGGGUUGACCUGAAUUACAUCCGUAAACUAUU
Suricata suricatta (meerkat) is the source of this 220-nucleotide long non-coding RNA. RefSeq lists it as uncharacterized. The transcript is spliced from 2 exons. The record is from RefSeq and is a predicted model, not a curated record. Lineage: Eukaryota; Metazoa; Chordata; Mammalia; Carnivora; Herpestidae.